Non-coding RNA from Pristionchus pacificus, 61 nucleotides. The record is from Rfam. NCBI's taxonomy places the organism in Eukaryota, Metazoa, Nematoda, Chromadorea, Rhabditida, Neodiplogasteridae.
UCUUCAUUUCACGUGCUCUCUCGCCGGUCAGAGAGGCGAGAGAGUGCGUGAAAUGAAGAGA